Molecule: ribosomal RNA, 497 nt
Filed under: uncultured bacterium
Lineage: Bacteria
Description: partial 16S ribosomal RNA
Rfam family: Bacterial small subunit ribosomal RNA
Source: RNAcentral
GAUGAACGCUGGCGGCGUGCCUAAUACAUGCAAGUCGAGCGAACAGACGAGGAGCUUGCUCCUCUGACGUUAGCGGCGGACGGGUGAGUAACACGUGGAUAACCUACCUAUAAGACUGGGAUAACUUCGGGAAACCGGAGCUAAUACCGGAUAAUAUAUUGAACCGCAUGGUUCAAUAGUGAAAGACGGUUUUGCUGUCACUUAUAGAUGGAUCCGCGCCGCAUUAGCUAGUUGGUAAGGUAACGGCUUACCAAGGAAACGAUGCGUAGCCGACCUGAGAGGGUGAUCGGCCACACUGGAACUGAGACACGGUCCAGACUCCUAAGGGAGGCAGCAGUAGGGAAUCUUCCGCAAUGGGCGAAAGCCUGACGGAGCAACGCCGCGUGAGGGAUGAAGGUCUUCGGAUCGUAAAACUCUGUUAUUAGGGAAGAACAAAUGUGUAAGUAACUAUGCACGUCUUGACGGUACCUAAUCAGAAAGCCACGGCUAACUACGUG